GUUGAACGCUGGCGGCGUGCCUAAUACAUGCAAGUCGAGCGAACAGACGAGGAUCUUGCUCCUCUGACGUUAGCGGCGGACGGGUGAGUAACACGUGGAUAACCUACCUAUAAGACUGGGAUAACUUCGGGAAACCGGAGCUAAUACCGGAUAAUAUAUUGAACCGCAUGGUUCAAUAGUGAAAGACGGUUUUGCUGUCACUUAUAGAUGGAUCCGCGCCGCAUUAGCUAGUUGGUAAGGUAACGGCUUACCAAGGCAACGAUGCGUAGCCGACCUGAGAGGGUGAUCGGCCACACUGGAACUGAGACACGGUCCAGACUCCUACGGGAGGCAGCAGUAGGGAAUCUUCCGCAAUGGGCGAAAGCCUGACGGAGCAACGCCGCGUGAGUGAUGAAGGUCUUCGGAUCGUAAAACUCUGUUAUUAGGGAAGAACAAAUGUGUAAGUAACUAUGCACGUCUUGACGGUACCUAAUCAGAAAGCCACGGCUAACUACGUG
Molecule: ribosomal RNA, 497 nt
Filed under: uncultured bacterium
Lineage: Bacteria
Description: partial 16S ribosomal RNA
Rfam family: Bacterial small subunit ribosomal RNA
Source: RNAcentral